RNAcentral lists this ribosomal RNA (440 nucleotides) under uncultured bacterium. RNAcentral describes it as "partial 16S ribosomal RNA". It matches the Rfam family "Bacterial small subunit ribosomal RNA", at positions 338 to 795 of the family's 1533-position model. The record is from RNAcentral.
CCUACGGGAGGCAGCAGUGGGGGAUAUUGCACAAUGGGGGGAACCCUGAUGCAGCGACGCCGCGUGGGUGAAGAAGCGCCUCGGCGCGUAAAGCCCUGUCAGCAGGGAAGAAAAUGACGGUACCUGAAGAAGAAGCCCCGGCUCACUACGUGCCAGCAGCCGCGGCAAUACGUAGGGGGCAAGCGUUAUCCGGAUUUACCGGGCGUAAAGGGGGCGCAGACGGUGAUGCAAGCCAGGAGUGAAAGCCCGGGGCCCAACCCCGGGACUGCUGUUGCAACUGCGUGGCUGGAGUGCAGGAGGGGCAGGCGGAAUUCCUGGUGUAGCGGUGAAAUGCGUAGAUAUCGGGAGGAACACCGGUGGCGAAGGCGGCCUGCUGGACUGCAACUGACGUUGAGGCCCGAAAGCGUGGGGAGCGAACAGGAUUAGAUACCCUUGUAGUC